UCUCAGUUCGGAUUGAAGUCUNCNACUCGACUUNAUGAAGUUGGAAUCGCUAGUAAUCGCAAAUCANCAUGUUGCGGUGAAAACGUUCCCGGGUCUUGUACACACCGCCCGUCACAUCACGAAAGUAGGUUGUACUAGAAGUACCUGGGCCNACUCGCAAGAGAGGCAGGUUACCACGGUAUGAUUUAUGAUUGGGGUGAAGUCGUAACAAGUAACC
Molecule: ribosomal RNA, 217 nt
Filed under: unidentified soil organism R6-26
Description: partial 16S ribosomal RNA
Rfam family: Bacterial small subunit ribosomal RNA
Source: RNAcentral